Cynocephalus volans (Philippine flying lemur) is the source of this 2824-nucleotide long non-coding RNA. RefSeq lists it as uncharacterized. The record is from RefSeq and is a predicted model, not a curated record. Lineage: Eukaryota; Metazoa; Chordata; Mammalia; Dermoptera; Cynocephalidae. The transcript has 6 exons.
CCUAAAGCCAUCAUCGUAAAUCACAUUGUUAGACUGUCCAGUGGCAAAAGCCAUCAGUCAAACAAAAAUAAUCGUAUCAGGCAAGACAGGACAAUCCAGGGGCCUGAAGGUCAUAUCCCAGUAGCCACAGGCAAAGACCAGACCUCUCUUUGGUUCUAUGAGUUUAACCAUUAAUGCCAUUCAGUUGCCAGUAUCAAGCAAAGCAAACCUAAGCCCGUUUUAAUCCGCUUUUUAAGAAAACUGGUAGUCUUUUUCACACUUCCUGACGAGAGUGAGAUAGAUAUAAGUUCACAGCAUCCAGAGAAAUCAUCACGAAGUUAUAUGUAUUUCUGGUCAACACUGGAACUACUCUAACAUUUGACACUGAACUUACAGUGUAAACUGUGGCUGAUCUUAAGCAUGCCAUUCAAAGAAAAUACAAGAUUGCUAUUCAGCACCAGGUGCUGGUGGUCAAUGGAGGAGAAUGCAUGGCUGCAGAUGGAAGAGUAUGCACCGACAGCGCUGGGAUGGACACAAAUUCAAUUUUUCUUUUUAACAAAGAAAUGAUCUUAUGUGAUCGUCAACCUGCUAUUCCUAAAACUACAUUUUCAACAGAAAAUGACAUGGAAAUAAAAGUUGAAGAGUCUUAGGAUGCCUGCAGUUUUCACACUGUUGCUUCAAGGACACAACUUUUCACACUGUUGCUUCAAGGACACAACUUGCAGUGGAUAUAAUUUAAAACUUUGGAUAUAAGAUAGCAUGUCUCAUUUCUAAGUUCUGACCCCUCUUUCAUGUUGCCUCAAUUUGGCCUAACUGUUGCUUCAUCCUGCUGUUCAUCUUCCCCCCCCUGAUGGCACACAGACCAUCUGGGAAAAGUCCUUCCCUGCCUGGCCAGCUCAGUCGGUAGAACAUGUGACUCUUAAUCCCAGCAAUGUGGGACAGAUCCCUGAAAGAAAGUAAGCCGAGAUGCUUCUUUCAGUCACCAUCUGGGAAAGAGCCUUCCCAACAUCGAGAGAUUUAUACAAAGAAAAGUAAGACCUCUUCAAUCAAGAUAUUGAUCAUCAAUGCUUUUAUGAGGAAUGCUUUGAUCAUAUGGGGGGAAAUAACAUCUUUUCUACAAAAGCAGUUCUCUAAAUUUUCCUGGCCUUAAAGAGAGGGUGUUUGUAACUUGGAUGAGACAUCCUGUUCUUAAACAAAAGACUUGUAAUUGAUCAAAAAUUUUACAUAAGACUAGACGCUCUGAAAGCAGUAAUAUCCUGAACAGUUUAACAUUAACAAACUCUCUGGACUCAGAAUCAACUGUUACAUGGAGCAGAAUCCCUUUCCGGAGUUUCAACAGUUGGUAAUUACACCCAAUUCACAGCACCUGGAGUGAUGCCAAUGCAGCCACACUGAGACAAUGACAGCAUCAGUCCUCACCUGAAGAAAAUUAAAAGGACUUGCCAUGCUAAAUGAUACCAGCUUUGCUUUAAAUGUUUUUGUCUUAACUGUGCAAACCUGAUCUAUAGCUCUUGUCUUUUCUCUUAAAUAAAUAAACAGGGGAAGAUGUAGAGGAUUCAUAAAACAAAUGUACUUCACAGCGCCUGGUUUUCCAAAGCCUCGCAGUUUCAAAUAUUGACCUUGCAAAGGACAGGAAAUUUUCCACAGGCUAUUGAGUCUCUGUUGCAAGAUAAGAAUCAUAACACAGCAAGGUUACUGACUCAAAGACAGACAAGUUACUGAUUGAUAUGUAAAGAUCCUGGGAAAUUGUGGUAAGAAGAAAAUGUUUGCUAAAAUCAAGCCUUUGUUGCAAAUUGCAUUACAGAAGGUCACCUUGCUUGACUUACUGAAUGUUACCAGCUUCUAUUGUUAAACUUGUUAAACUGUACUUAGCAAAAUCCCACCUAUGUCUCUUCCUGUAACUUCCUGGGUUGGAAAAUAAAUGCAGGAGGAGAACCCCAAUUCGUGGUUAAUUUCCCAAAUGGAAGAAAUGCCUCGUGCUUGGGGGCUAUGGGAGAUUACCCCCUUUUUGAAGCUUCUCACUGCUCAAAAGACAUGGGCUUUGAGUAAUCUUUGGCAGCUCCAUCACCCAGGGGAAAAGGGGUGACAGAUCCGUGGGAGGCAAAGCAACACAAAAACCCCAUCUAAGUUCUCCUCAUGUAACUUCCUGGUCUGAAGAAUAAAUGCAGGAAGAGAACCCCAAUUUGGGGUUAAUUUCCCAAAAGGAAGGAAUGCCUCACUUUUGAGGGUCGUGGGAGAUUAACCUCUUUCUGGGGUGUCUCACUGCUUAAAAGGGAUGGGCUUUGAGUAAUCUUUGGCAGCUCCAUCAUCCAGGGGCAAAGGAGUGACAAAUCCAUGGGAGGCAAAGCAACAUUGUCCCCUCUAAAACUCAUGUGGGGGCCAGCCCAUGGCUCACUUGGGAGAGUGUGGUGCUGAUAACAUCAAGGCCAUGGGUUCGGAUCCCAUAUAGGGAUGGCCGGUUAGCUCACUGGGUGAGCAUGGUGCUGACAACACCAAGUCAAGGGUUAUGAUCCCUUUACUGGUCGUCUUUAAAAACAAAUAAGACAAAACUCAUGUGGAAAUUUGAUCCCCAAUGUGGCAGUGUUGGAAACUGACUGAGUCAUGAGGGCGGAUCCCUUAUGAAUGGAUUAAUGCUCUCCCUGUGGGCGGGGGGAGUAAUGAGUGAGUUCUUGCUCUAUUAGUUCCCUCGAGAGCUUAUUGUUUAUAGGACCCUGGCACCUCUUGCUUUUCUCUCUUGCUUCCUCUCUCGCCAUGUGACCUGCUUGUACACGCUGGCUGCCUGCCACUUUUCCGCCAUGAGUAAAGGCAGCCUGAGGCCUGUGCCAGAUGCAGCUGUCCCAGAAUC